AUAGAUUAUAGCUGGGGGACCCGCAGCAGUGUCCUUCAGUUUAAAAAGGAGUGAAUGUAUGUGGUUAUUUUCAUCUCCGUCAGAAGUUUGGUAAAACGUAAACACUGGUGUAAAGUGUCUGUAACUCCAAAACUUUUUGUGUUGACACAUUAAACUGCAGUCCAAUUUU
Molecule: long non-coding RNA, 169 nt
Organism: Etheostoma cragini (Arkansas darter)
Lineage: Eukaryota; Metazoa; Chordata; Actinopteri; Perciformes; Percidae
Exons: 2
Source: RefSeq, a predicted model, not a curated record